RNAcentral lists this long non-coding RNA (1476 nucleotides) under Scophthalmus maximus (turbot). Its description in RNAcentral is "lncRNA (ENSSMAG00000029823.1)". Lineage: Eukaryota; Metazoa; Chordata; Actinopteri; Pleuronectiformes; Scophthalmidae. The record is from RNAcentral.
CCUCCCUGCGAUCGUCCCGAUCACAGACGGCCGCGGCAGGAUCUCACGUUCAUUAUCCGUCACAUCGGCUCUAAUGAGCGACGCUCGACUGCGGCCUAUUGGCAACGCGAUCUGUUGCUAAAUGGCGUGAUUUCGUGACUACGUCAUCGCGACGUGUCACCGACGACCUGCCAGUUCGAAACCUCGAGUUUUUGGCGUUUUGUUCAGCGCCAUCUUGGAAAUCAGAAGUGACCAUAUUUGGAAGAAGAAGGGGGCUCGUCCACCGCCACCUGCGUCUGUGCACCUAUUGGACGGUACCAGCUGUCAAUCACACGGUAGCGGUGACGUCAGAUAAACUAGGAGCAGCGGUAACAUCCACGGAUAGAAGAGGAAACAGUGAACUCACAUGUGUGCGUCUUCUUCACCGCCGCUGACGAACCUGCAACACACAAGACAACAGAUUCAGUCACAGUCUCCAGCUGAAGUUGAUAUUCCAGUUGUGAAGAGCUGUGACAAUCUGAGAUCGGAGUCAUGCGUCCUGUUGUGGUAACUGUCGUCCUGCUGGUGGUCCUGAUGUUCAUGACGGACUCUGCAGUCGCAGGAGAAAAAGAGAAGAAAAAUUGCCAGAACUAUUUCCCACUUGUACCAUGUGGUUCUGGAUGGUACCGGAUGGACGGAAGUCGCUGUAUGAAGAGAGCUCCGACCGCAGAAACGUUUGACGAUGCACAGAUGUUCUGCAAAAACAAAAGUGGUGAUUUGGUGUCAUUCAGGGGAAGAGACGACCUUAUCCAAAUGCUGUGUCUGUUGGUCAUGGAAAACAAUGACAAGGUUCCUCACUGGCUCGGAGCCAGAAAACAAGGGGGUGAAUUUCAGUGGGCUGAUGGACGUGGACCAUUGAUCUUCGGAGGCCAACACAACCUCCUGAAUGACCAGGCUGAGGACUGUGCAGCAAUCAACAUCGGUGGUCCCUGGAAAGGUACAUCAUGUUCAGCAACAAGGAACUUUGUGUGCCAAAAGACUAUGUGAUCGUCAUCUCCAGAUGAUGAACCAGCCUGCUUCACUGUAACCUCUGUGAAUGCAACCUUUAAUAUUGUUUGUAAUAAAUGUUCAGCAUCAGAAAACAUUUGAUUUGGUUUUUUUAUUUGUUUGUGUCCAGCAGAAUGACAGUUGUAGCCAUUGUACACGUACUGCAGACUGAGCCUGACAUACAGUAUAAUUACCUGAUUAGUUUCAUCUGGUUUCAUAGAUACAUACAGCUGGGUGUCGUCUGCAUAGCAAAGUAAAUCCAUGUGGUGCUUUCAGCUUUGGUUAGUUUUAUAAUGUCUCUAAUAACAGCAGGACAGAGACGACAGAACUGUGUUUAGUGUAGAUAUUGAUAAAGCAGAGGAACCAAGUCCUGCUGAAUUUAGGUAAAUUGUCAUUGUCUGUACUUUCUAUCCUGUUGUAAGAAACAGAGAUUUAACCGUGGUCCAUAAACUCUACACAUUCACCUAGCUG